Molecule: long non-coding RNA, 1021 nt
Organism: Drosophila biarmipes
Lineage: Eukaryota; Metazoa; Arthropoda; Insecta; Diptera; Drosophilidae
Exons: 2
Source: RefSeq, a predicted model, not a curated record
GGUGAUCGUGGUGGUCGUGGUGGUCGUGGUGGUCGUGCUUCUCGUGGUGGUGGAUGUGCUCCUUGGUCUGGUGUAUCUGGAUGGGUCGGUGGUCCUCGUGGAUCACCUUCUUCUCCUCCUUCAGGACGAGCGGCUUGUGGUGAUGGUGCACGUGCUUCACCACCGUGUGUAUGUGCUUCUCGAUCUUCUUGUGGAUUGGCACGUGGAUCACGAUUUUCUUCUUUUUCUGGUGGCUUCUGGAAAAGUGCAAUAAAAAAAUAUUAUUGUAAUCCACUCUAUAUUAUGCUAGGGCUUGGGAUAUAACAAUUAUCUGCCAUUUUGCUUUCGGCCUUCAUCCAAGUUUUUAGUUAUCCCCGGUAAUCCAUACCCCGCAUCCGUUUCCGGCACGCAGACGAGCAGCAGCACCAGCGCCACCACAAUCGAGAGCCUCAGCAGCUGCAAGAAAAGGCCCCGUUUAUUGGGCGUAAUCCUCGGGUAAUCCUGGGCACAAGGCCCGCGACGGGCACUCACCAAACUGCGGUUAUCCAUGUCGCUUGGCUAGAGAUCCAGGUGCAGGUGUUGAGGUGUUGAAGGCUCAGACGAUGCGGCUGCUUUGAUUGCUGCCCCACUGCGACCAUUUUAUUUAUACAGGCCCACGGAAUGCGGUGGGCAUGGUGGCUAUAAUGGAAUACCCCGGCGCCAGUUGGCGGCGCUUCCGUGACGCAGUCCAUCGAAGCUAUGGGCAGAGCCAUGGGUUUUCGUUUGCUUUGCCUCGGUGAAGCCUCUGCGCACGCGCCGCGAACGAAAAGAGCUGGCUGCGCAGAGGAAAACCUGCAAUUUUCAUUCAUUUCGGAUGGCAGCGAUCAUCGUGUCAUGGCUUGUGGGUGGUUUUCAGCCAGGUGGGGACUAACUACUCCUCACCCAGGCCCAAAUUAGCCCUAAUUUGUGAAGUUUACACGGCAAAAAAAUAUUUUAUUUUUGAUGAUUGAAUUUAUUGUGAUCAAAGUAAAAUGUAUCAAUUGAAUAAAGGUUUUAUAUUGUA